CAGUAGCCGCGGUAAUACAGAGGGUGCGAGCGUUAAUCGGAUUUACUGGGCGUAAAGCGUGCGCAGGCGGUUAUAUAAGACAGAUGUGAAAUCCCCGGGCUCAACCUUGGAACUGCAUUUGUGACUGUAUAGCUAGAGUACGGCAGAGGGGGAUGGAAUUCCGCGUGUAGCAGUGAAAUGCGUAGAUAUGCGGAGGAACACCGAUGGCGAAGGCAAUCCCCUGGGCCUGUACUGACGCUCAUGCACGAAAGCGUGGGGAGCAAACAGGAUUAGAUACCCCAGUAGUCCCUGUCUCUUAUAC
This 301-nucleotide ribosomal RNA is filed under the name uncultured bacterium. RNAcentral's name for it is "partial 16S ribosomal RNA". It matches the Rfam family "Bacterial small subunit ribosomal RNA", at positions 509 to 807 of the family's 1533-position model. The record is from RNAcentral.